RNAcentral lists this ribosomal RNA (396 nucleotides) under uncultured bacterium. RNAcentral describes it as "partial 16S ribosomal RNA". It matches the Rfam family "Bacterial small subunit ribosomal RNA", at positions 338 to 731 of the family's 1533-position model. The record is from RNAcentral.
CCUACGGGUGGCAGCAGUGAGGAAUAUUGGUCAAUGGACGCAAGGCUGAACCAGCCAUGCCGCGUGCAGGAAGACGGCUCUAUGAGUUGUAAACUUCUUUUGUACGGGGGUAAAACCCGAUACGUGUAUCUGAUUGAAAGUAUCUUACGAAUAAGGAUCGGCUAACUCCGUGCCAGCAGCCGCGGUAAUACGGAGGAUGCGAGCGUUAUCCGGAUUUAUUGGGUUUAAAGGGUGCGUAGGCGGUUCGAUAAGUUAGCGGUGAAAUCCCGGGGCUCAACUCCGGCACUGCCUCUGAUACUGUCGGGCUUGAGUUCAGUAGAGGUAGGCGGAAUGUAUGGUGUAGCGGUGAAAUGCAUAGAGAUCACACAGAACACCGAUUGCGAAGGCAGCCUACCA